UGACUCCACGACAACGUCUAGGGCUUGAGUGU
RNAcentral lists this non-coding RNA (32 nucleotides) under Homo sapiens (human). Lineage: Eukaryota; Metazoa; Chordata; Mammalia; Primates; Hominidae. The record is from RNAcentral.